This 445-nucleotide ribosomal RNA is filed under the name uncultured bacterium. Its description in RNAcentral is "partial 16S ribosomal RNA". It matches the Rfam family "Bacterial small subunit ribosomal RNA", at positions 354 to 796 of the family's 1533-position model. The record is from RNAcentral.
GUGAGGAAUAUUGGUCAAUGGGCGGGAGCCUGAACCAGCCAAGUCGAGUGAAGGAAGAAGGAUCUAUGGUUCGUAAACUUCUUUUGCAGGGGAAUAAAGUGCAGGACGUGUCCUGUUUUGUAUGUACCCUGAGAAUAAGGAUCGGCUAACUCCGUGCCAGCAGCCGCGGUAAUACGGAGGAUCCGAGCGUUAUCCGGAUUUAUUGGGUUUAAAGGGUGCGUAGGUGGUUUGAUAAGUCAGCGGUGAAAGUUUGCAGCUUAACUGUAAAAAUGCCGUUGAAACUGUCGGACUUGAGUGUAAAUGAGGUAGGCGGAAUGCGUGGUGUAGCGGUGAAAUGCAUAGAUAUCACGCAGAACUCCGAUUGCGAAGGCAGCUUACUAAGCUACAACUGACACUGAAGCACGAAAGCGUGGGGAUCAAACAGGAUUAGAUACCCGGGUAGUCC